Molecule: ribosomal RNA, 465 nt
Filed under: uncultured bacterium
Lineage: Bacteria
Description: partial 16S ribosomal RNA
Rfam family: Bacterial small subunit ribosomal RNA
Source: RNAcentral
GACGAACGCUGGCGGCGUGCUUAACACAUGCCAGUCGAACGGAAAGGCCCUGCUUGCAGGGUACUCGAGUGGCGAACGGGUGAGUAACACGUGGGUGAUCUGCCCUGCACUUCGGGAUAAGCCUGGGAAACUGGGUCUAAUACCGGAUAGGAGCCAUUUUUAGUGUGAUGGUUGGAAAGUUUUUUCGGUGUAGGAUGAGCUCGCGGCCUAUCAGCUUGUUGGUGGGGUAAUGGCCUACCAAGGCGGCGACGGGUAGCCGGCCUGAGAGGGUGGACGGCCACAGUGGGACUGAGAUACGGCCCAGACUCCUACGGGAGGCAGCAGUGGGGAAUAUUGCACAAUGGGCGCAAGCCUGAUGCAGCGACGCCGCGUGGGGGAUGACGGCCUUCGGGUUGUAAACUCCUUUCGCUAGGGACGAAGCUUUUUGUGACGGUACCUAGAUAAGAAGCACCGGCUAACUACGUG